GAUGAAGAACGUAGCGAAAUGCGAUACUUGGUGUGAAUUGCAGAAUCCCGUGAACCAUCGAGUCUUGAACGCAAGUUGCGCCCGAAGCCAUUAGGCCGAGGGCACGCCUGCCUGGGCGUCACACGUCGUUGCCCCCCCAUCUACUCCUUCGGGAUUGCGGGGGGCGGAUGAUGGCCUCCCGUGCGCCUCGUCGCGCGGUUGGCAUAAAUACCAAGUCCUCGGCGACGCACGCCACGACAAUCGGUGGUUGCGAAACCUCGGUUGCCCGUCGUGUGCGGUCGUCGCGCAUCGAGGGCUCGAAAAAAUUGCCGGGCUCCGGCUCGGCUUUCAACGCGACCCCAGGUCAGGCGGGGUUACCCGCUGAAUUUAAGCAUAUCAAUAAGCGGAGGA
RNAcentral lists this unclassified non-coding RNA (390 nucleotides) under soil metagenome. RNAcentral's name for it is "partial contains 5.8S ribosomal RNA, internal transcribed spacer 2, and large subunit ribosomal RNA". The stretch from base 1 to 121 matches the Rfam family "5.8S ribosomal RNA", at positions 35 to 154 of the family's 154-position model. The record is from RNAcentral.